Molecule: ribosomal RNA, 497 nt
Filed under: uncultured bacterium
Lineage: Bacteria
Description: partial 16S ribosomal RNA
Rfam family: Bacterial small subunit ribosomal RNA
Source: RNAcentral
GACGAACGCUGGCGGCGUGCCUAAUACAUGCAAGUUGAGCGAUGAAGAUUGGUGCUUGCACCAAUUUGAAGAGCAGCGAACGGGUGAGUAACGCGUGGGGAAUCUGCCUUUGAGCGGGGGACAACAUUUGGAAACGAAUGCUAAUACCGCAUAACAACUUUAAACAUAAGUUUUAAGUUUGAAAGAUGCAAUUGCAUCACUCAAAGAUGAUCCCGCGUUGUAUUAGCUAGUUGGUGAGGUAAAGGCUCACCAAGGCGAUGAUACAUAGCCGACCUGAGAGGGUGAUCGGCCACAUUGGGACUGAGACACGGCCCAAACUGCUACGGGAGGCAGCAGUAGGGAAUCUUCGGCAAUGGACGAAAGUCUGACCGAGCAACGCCGCGUGAGUGAAGAAGGUUUUCGGAUCGUAAAACUCUGUUGGUAGAGAAGAACGUUGGUGAGAGUGGAAAGCUCAUCAAGUGACGGUAACUACCCAGAAAGGAACGGCUAACUACGUG